AUGUUUCCCCCUGAGUUGUUCUUUACAGCUACAGAAGAAUAUAUAGAAGGUAUACACAUGCAUAACUGGGUGCUGAGAUUUGACCUCUUUCCUCGGGAGCUGCUCCAAGUGAGAAAAGAGUCGGUGACCACUGGUGCCCUAAGAAUCCCAGGUUCCUUCAUGGUGAAGGGAAAGCAUGGUGUAUUUGAAGGACUUACAGAAUUCAAUACGGCUGGAUUAUAAAGAAGGUGAAGAAGAUUGCUCUGAGAUUAGGUUGAAGAGGUAGACCAGACAAUGGAGAAGAAAUCUGUAAGUUUAAAAGUUUAACUAAAAGACCAUGGGAAGCUUUUUAAAGCAACUUGACAUUAGCAGAAAUUUAUUUUUUUUUUUUAGUAUCACCCUGGCUGUGGCAUAGAAAUAGACUGAACAGAAGCAAAAUUUAAUGCAGGUGCCUCUCAGUAAGAAUAUGUUUCAGUAGUCCAGGUGAGAAAUGAUGCUGGUGAUAGCAAGGGGCCUGGAGAAAAGUAAGCAUUUCUUACAUUAUGUAAGACACAGAAUUGGCAGGACUGGAGGAUUAGUAGGACGUUAGACAUGUAGGAUGUCAAGAAAUCACUGUUGGGACUUCCCUGGUGAUCCAGAGGUUGACUCUAAGCUUCCAGUGCAGGGGGCACAGGUCCAAUCCCUGGUGAGAGAACUUCGAUUCAACAUGCCUUACGGUGCACUGGCCAAAAUGAAGUGAAUAAUCCUGACAAACACCAACUCAGUCAGGUGAUCAAAGCCAACAUCAACAGUGGUGGCAAGUCGUAUUGACAGUAUAUACCCUUGACACAAGGACACUUUAUUUCUGUGGUCAUCCUCCUGAAAACCCAUCAGUUCAGUUCAGUUCAGUUCAGUAGCUCAGUUGUGUCCGACUCUUUGCGACCCCGUGAAUCGCAGCACGCCAGGCCUCCCUGUCCAUCACCAACUCCUGGAAUUCACUCAGACUCACGUCCAUCGAGUCAGUGAUGCCAUCCAGCUAUCUCAUCCUCUGUCGUCCCCUUCUCCUCCUGGCCCCAAUCCCUCCCAGCAUCAGUCUUUUCCAAUGAGUCAACUCUUCGCAUGAGGUAGCCAAAGUACUGGAGUUUCAGCUUUAGCAUCAUUCCUUCCAAAGAAAUCCCAGGACAGAUCUCCUUCAGCAUGGACUGGUUGGAUCUCCUUGCAAUCCAAGGAACUCUCAAGAGUCUUCUCCAACACCACAGUUCAAAAGCAUCAAUUCUUUGGCGCUCAGCUUUCUUCACAGUCUAACUCUCACAUCCAUACAUGACCACUGGAAAAACCAUAGCCUUGACUAGACGGAUAACCCCAGCCUAAUCGCUAAGAAGAGCAUCAGAGAAAUCCUAAAUCCCAGUUGAAGGAUUAAGUGUGUAUGACCAGAUAUGUUUAGCCUAUGUCUGGCAAUACUCCUCAAAAACAAGGAAAGUCUCAGAAACAUAGCCAAGAGGAGCCUGAGAAGAGAUGACGACUAAAUUGUAUGUGGGAUCACUGACCUAGAGCCAGACAUUCUGGAAUGUGAAGUCAAGUGAGCCUUAGAAAGCAUCACUACGAACAAAGCUAGUGGAGGUGAUGGAAUUCCAGUUGAGGUAUUCCAAAUCCUGAAAAAUGAUGCUGUGAAAGUGCUCCACUCAAUAUGCCAGCAAAUUUGGAAAACUCAGCAGUGGCCACAGGACUGGAAAAGGUCAGUUUUCAUUCCAAUCCCAGAGAAAGGCAAUGCCAAAGAAUGCUCAAACUACCGCACAAUUGUGCUCAUCUCACACGCUAUUAAGUAAUGCUCAAAAUUCUCCAAGCCAGGCUUCAGCAAUAUGUGAACCGUGAACUUCCUAAUGUUCAAGCUGGUUUUAGAAAAGGCAGAGGAACCAGAGAUCAAAUUGCCAACAUCCGCUGGAUCAUGGAAAAAGCAAGAGAGUUCCAGAAAAACAUCUAUUUCUGCUUUAUUGACUAUGCCAAAGCCUUUGACUGAGUGGAUCACAAUAAAC
RNAcentral lists this long non-coding RNA (1991 nucleotides) under Bos indicus x Bos taurus (hybrid cattle). RNAcentral describes it as "lncRNA (ENSBIXG00005009602.1)". The record is from RNAcentral. Lineage: Eukaryota; Metazoa; Chordata; Mammalia; Artiodactyla; Bovidae.